UUUCCGUAGGUGAACCUGCGGAAGGAUCAUUAAAGUUAUAGUCCCCUGGCCCUCUGGGCUGGGGUCUUCUAUACCACCCUUUGUUUAUUACACCUUUGCUGCUUUGGCAGGCCUGCCCUCGGGCUGCUGGCUCCGGCCGGCUCGCGUCUGCCAGAGGACCUAAACUCUGUUUGUAUAUGAAGUCUGAGUACUAUAUAAUAGUUAAAACUUUCAACAACGGAUCUCUUGGUUCUG
RNAcentral lists this unclassified non-coding RNA (234 nucleotides) under plant metagenome. RNAcentral's name for it is "partial contains small subunit ribosomal RNA, internal transcribed spacer 1, and 5.8S ribosomal RNA". The record is from RNAcentral.